Molecule: transfer RNA, 68 nt
Filed under: Anomaloglossus stepheni (Stephen's rocket frog)
Lineage: Eukaryota; Metazoa; Chordata; Amphibia; Anura; Aromobatidae
Description: tRNA-Tyr
Source: RNAcentral
GGUAAGAUGGCCGAAAAUAGGCAGCGGAUUGUAACCCCGCCAACAGAGGCUCAGCCCUCUUCUUAUCA